Molecule: ribosomal RNA, 387 nt
Filed under: uncultured bacterium
Lineage: Bacteria
Description: bacterial SSU rRNA
Rfam family: Bacterial small subunit ribosomal RNA
Source: RNAcentral
GACGAACGCUGGCGGCGUGCUUAACACAUGCAAGUCGAGCGGUAAGGCCCUUCGGGGUACGACGAGCGGCGAACGGGUGAGUAACACGUGGGUGACCUGCCUUUAGCUCUGGGAUAAGCCUGGGAAACUGGGUCUAAUACCGGAUAUGACCUCAUGACGCAUGUCGUGGGGUGGAAAGCCUUGUGCGGCUAGAGAUGGGCCCGCGGCCUAUCAGCUUGUUGGUGGGGUGANGGCCUACCAAGGCGACGACGGGUAGCCGGCCUGAGAGGGCGACCGGCCACACUGGGACUGAGACACGGCCCAGACUCCUACGGGAGGCAGCAGUGGGGAAUCUUGCGCAAUGGGCGAAAGCCUGACGCAGCGACGCCGCGUGAGGGAUGACGGCCU